This 208-nucleotide ribosomal RNA is filed under the name uncultured bacterium. RNAcentral's name for it is "partial 16S ribosomal RNA". It matches the Rfam family "Bacterial small subunit ribosomal RNA", at positions 521 to 719 of the family's 1533-position model. The record is from RNAcentral.
UACAGAGGGGGGGGCAAGCGUUUGUUCGGAAUUACUGGGGCGUAAAGGGCGCGUAGGCGGCCCUGUUAAGUCGAACGUGAAAUCCCCCCGGGGGCUCAACCCCGGGGAACUGCGUCCGAUACUGGCAGGCUUGAAUCCGGGAGAGGGAUGCGGAAUUCCAGGUGUAGCGGUGAAAUGCGUAGAUAUCUGGAGGAACACCGGUGGCGGA